Molecule: long non-coding RNA, 1183 nt
Filed under: Citrus x clementina
Lineage: Eukaryota; Viridiplantae; Streptophyta; Magnoliopsida; Sapindales; Rutaceae
Description: Citrus clementina (C. clementina) long non-coding RNA (CCLE_LNC000597)
Source: RNAcentral
AAGAGAUUUUACUGUAUAAUUAAGGGUCUAUCAAAAUAUAAAUCAAUUCAAUUACAACAUAACCAUUACCUUUUUCUCAUCCAAUAUAAUCUAUUCGAAAGUCUGACUUCAUAAAACUAUAACAUACGAGGAUUUCUACCUUUCUCUCCUUAAAGAUUAUAGUCAAACAAUUCUUUGUUACAAUAACGGGGUUAUCACAAAUCUAAGUUGAUACAAUUAUAAUUUAUAAGUCAGGAGACUACCAAACAUAGGUUAAGUUGCAUAUGACUAAAAAUUGCUUUUCUUUCCAUGGGGAAGUCUUGAGUUUCACAACUCCGCGUCAAAUUCAAUUGUGGUAUAAUUUUCCCUCCUAAAUUUUGUUUCUCAGUGCUUCCCUGGGCCUGAAAGCAUUCAUCGGUGCCUGCAAGUGACCAAAACACUUCACAGGCUGCAAGGGCUUUUAUGUCUGCCACUCUUUACCGAUUUUUAUUCCAAGGCCCUUUUGACAGUCAUUUGAUAUUUGGAUUAUUUGGGCAUUUGGCAACCUGAUAAGAGAGUAAGAGGCUGAGGCAGUAAACUCUUUCCAGCAACAGUGAAAUUUAUGCCGGCCCAAAAAAAUGUUGUGUACGUGAGAGGCAAUGCAAUAUAUCAGUAUUAACUUAUUUUGUCUGAUAUAUAAAUUUUCAUAUACAUGUAUAUAUGACAGAACGUUAUUGAAUUAUUAUAAGUUAGUAAUUCCAGCAUUUAUAGGAAAUUUUCUCAUAUCUAUUUCCAUUCACAAGAGCUAGGCAAUAGUGGAACUAAGGUUGUAUUUAUUUAUUUUUAAUGAAAUGUAAAUAGUUUUAAAUUUAGUUGAAGUCUGAAUAGGUUUGAAUAGAAAUUUUUAAAUGAUAUGUUUGUUUUUCUUUUUUUUUUUCAACGUCUGAACAAAAAAAUUUAAAACUAGUUGUUUGACGUUAACAUUCUUUUAAGUGGUGCAUAUAUUCGUUAUUCACAAUUUAUAAACUUAACAAAUUGAUUAGUUUGAUAGCAUGAAAAGAAUAAUACUAUCAUUGUUUCUUAAUUUAAUUUUACAAUAAAAGAUGUAAUUAUAACAUCAACUCUCAUUAUAAAGUCAACAUUGUUGUUUUAAUUUUAAUUCAUCACAAUAGACGUAAUCUAAUUUGUCCAAUAUUUUACUUUAGUUAAUGCUACCAUGUGAAUA